This 245-nucleotide ribosomal RNA is filed under the name uncultured bacterium. Its description in RNAcentral is "partial 16S ribosomal RNA". It matches the Rfam family "Bacterial small subunit ribosomal RNA", at positions 88 to 334 of the family's 1533-position model. The record is from RNAcentral.
AUGGCGACCGGCGCACGGGUGAGUAACACGUAUCCAACCUGCCGAUAACUCGGGGAUAGCCUUUCGAAAGAAAGAUUAAUACCCGAUGGUAUAAUCAGACCGCAUGGUUUGAUUAUUAAAGAGUUUCGGUUAUCGAUGGGGAUGCGUUCCAUUAGGCAGUUGGUGAGGUAACGGCUUACCAAGGCGACGAUCAGUAGCCGACCUGAGAGGGUGACCGGCCACAUUGGGACUGGGACACGGCCCAA